RNAcentral lists this ribosomal RNA (510 nucleotides) under uncultured bacterium. RNAcentral's name for it is "partial 16S ribosomal RNA". It matches the Rfam family "Bacterial small subunit ribosomal RNA", at positions 28 to 523 of the family's 1533-position model. The record is from RNAcentral.
GAUGAACGCUAGCGGCAGGCCUAACACAUGCAAGUCGAGGGGCAGCACGUAAAGAUGCAGCAAUGUGGCUUUUGGUGGCGACCGGCGGACGGGUGCGUAACGCGUAUGCAACCUACCUUUUACAGGGGGAUAACGGAUGGAAACGUCCACUAAUACCCCAUAAUAUCCGAAGAGGCAUCUCUUUGGGUUGAAAACUCCGGUGGUAAAAGAUGGGCAUGCGUUGUAUUAGGUAGUUGGUGAGGUAAUGGCUCACCAAGCCUACGAUACAUAGGGGGACUGAGAGGUUAGCCCCCCACACUGGUACUGAGACACGGACCAGACUCCUACGGGAGGCAGCAGUGAGGAAUAUUGGUCAAUGGGGGCAACCCUGAACCAGCCAUGCCGCGUGCAGGAAGACGGCUCUAUGAGUUGUAAACUGCUUUUGUACAGGGAUGAAUCGGGAUACGUGUAUUCCGUUGGAGGUACUGUACGAAUAAGGAUCGGCUAACUCCGUGCCAGCAGCCGCCGUAA